RNAcentral lists this ribosomal RNA (914 nucleotides) under Triticum aestivum (bread wheat). RNAcentral describes it as "partial small subunit ribosomal RNA". The record is from RNAcentral. Lineage: Eukaryota; Viridiplantae; Streptophyta; Magnoliopsida; Poales; Poaceae.
GUCCUCCCAUGUCUCACCCCCUUUUCCCUCUGAUGAAACCUCCCACGCCGCUCCUUCUCUUUCCCCCAUCCCCGCCAGUCCGCCACCACGCGCAAAUCCCGCUGUCGCCCGUCGAUCCGGCGCGCAGUUCCACCCUCGUCUCUCUUCCUGGUCCAGCAACGUCACCCAGCCCCUUAGCUUUUCCUCCCGACGCGAAAAUGUCCUUUUGACUCCCGUCUCCGUCUUGUUGGCCCGCAGAUCUGGCAGCCCUCGGCCACGACACUGCGAGCUCUGGCCGGCUUGACCUCGUCGGCUCGUCGCCCCCAUUCAAUAGUGCUGGACGCCGCUCCUCGGGACCGCGGCGGUCUUCUUCAUGGGCUCUCUCUCCCUUCACCUCCUACGCCAUGUAUCGGCCCCUUCCUGAAGCUCCUCCUCAUCCGUGUGCCCCCCUGAUGUCGCCGAGUGGACCACGCCCACACCCGCCUCCGCCCGCCUGUACCAGGCCACAUCAGAUUCUGAAGGCGGCUCUGAAAGGGGGUGAGAUGAUGCUCGUCAAGACUAACCGAAAAGGAAUGGGAGACAGUACUGAAGAAUCGUGAUCUAUGGCAAGGGUGAUGAUGUAUAUGGCGAUGAUUGUUAUGAUCUAUUUGGCGACGAGCAUUAUGAUCCAUAUGGUGAUGAAGGGUGACGAGUCUAGUGAUCUUUCUUCAAGACGUUCAACAAAGUGAAAUCAUGGGGUUUUGGUCAAUCUAGCUUAUGCAUAAUGCUUGGACCAUUAUAUCUAAGUUUUUUUUUUGCAUUUUAAACUUUCUAGAUUGUUCAUCAUGAUCAAUGUAAUUCUGAUGCAACUCUUCUGAUAUUUUGAAAGUUGUGCUAUAUACAAUAUAUGUUACUUGGUGAUGUGUGGGCUGUGCAAUUCUGUGAUAUAUUUGAAA